Molecule: non-coding RNA, 520 nt
Organism: Salvia hispanica
Lineage: Eukaryota; Viridiplantae; Streptophyta; Magnoliopsida; Lamiales; Lamiaceae
Source: RefSeq, a predicted model, not a curated record
GAUCCAUAAGGCCCAUGGCCUAGGUCGGCGAUCUCCAUUGCACUUAGGAGGGGCGCCCGCCUAAGGUCGGCUUUAGUGGUCGAGCCUACGUCAUAAUUUGUGUUGCGUUCGCGCGGCCCCUGCCCAAUUCUAGUUCAAAUGUUUGUACUCGGGAGGGGCGCUUGCCUAAAGUCAGCCUUGUUGCCCUAUCUUACCAAGAUGCAUGAAUUGGUGGAGCUUAAUUCACGAUGAGCACAAGAGGAAGCAGUUGGAGUAGAGAAGAUUGACUGAUGAGGAUGAUCAAUUGGUAACAGAUGCCCAUACCACCAAGUUGGCCAAUCUGUGAACACACGCUUAACUUAGCAAAAUGAGUUCCAGUUGCGGAUUGAAUGGGUAGACUUCUUGGAUAAAGCCGCUUUUUACUCAUGUGUGUGCAUCUAUUUGCUACUAAUGGAAGUAUUUAAGAGCAGAAUGUGCCCCAAACAAGCAAUCGACAAUCUAGUUCUUAAUUUUAAAAUAGAGGGUUUAACACUUUACAUCA